Molecule: long non-coding RNA, 431 nt
Filed under: Danio rerio (zebrafish)
Lineage: Eukaryota; Metazoa; Chordata; Actinopteri; Cypriniformes; Danionidae
Description: lncRNA (ENSDARG00000117351.1)
Source: RNAcentral
GCUGAGCAGUCGUUCAACCACAGACAAACCAACUGGGAGCUCCAGACAGCCCUGCUGCGAGGCGAGCUGGAAAGGAGAAUUAUCGCUGCUGUCUGUCUCCCCUUUACCUUCAGAUCUGAGAAUUAGAGAGUGAGAGGAAAAGAAUGGGGCCAUGUGAGAUCACAUUCAGCCGGUUAAAUGACAGUCUUAAUGUCUGCGUGAAUGAUUAGGUGACGAGAGCUGGCCGAGAGUCCAGACUCAGUGACUGAUGCAGACGUCGGAAAUUACCUCAAGAUGAAGCAAUUCCUCCACCUUCCCCCAUCUCUCCUUCCCUUUCAAGGUUACAGUACUUCAGCUUCAGAUCGAGCCAUGAUUGCAGCAUGCAGCAAGGUGCAGGGAUCAUCCCAGAGGAGCCCACCAGGCCUUCUUACUUGGGUUCUCCAUUGAAUUAG